Molecule: ribosomal RNA, 497 nt
Filed under: uncultured bacterium
Lineage: Bacteria
Description: partial 16S ribosomal RNA
Rfam family: Bacterial small subunit ribosomal RNA
Source: RNAcentral
GAUGAACGCUGGCGGCGUGCCUAAUACAUGCAAGUCGAGCGAACAGACGAGGAGCUUGCUCCUCUGACGUUAGCGGCGGACGGGUGAGUAACACGUGGAUAACCUACCUAUAAGACUGGGAUAACUUUGGGAAACCGGAGCUAAUACCGGAUAAUAUAUUGAACCGCAUGGUUCAAUAGUGAAAGACGGUUUUGCUGUCACUUAUAGAUGGAUCCGCGCCGCAUUAGCUAGUUGGUAAGGUAACGGCUUACCAAGGCGACGAAGCGUAGCCGACCUGAGAGGGUGAUCGGCCACACUGGAACUGAGACACGGUCCAGACUCCUACGGGAGGCAGCAGUAGGGAAUCUUCCGCAAUGGGCGAAAGCCUGACGGAGCAACGCCGCGUGAGUGAUGAAGGUCUUCGGAUCGUAAAACUCUGUUAUUAGGGAAGAACAAAUGUGUAAGUAACUAUGCACGUCUUGACGGUACCUAAUCAGAAAGCCACGGCUAACUACGUG